RNAcentral lists this transfer RNA (73 nucleotides) under Cricetulus griseus (Chinese hamster). It matches the Rfam family "tRNA". From Rfam's summary of the family: Transfer RNA (tRNA) molecules are approximately 80 nucleotides in length. Their secondary structure includes four short double-helical elements and three loops (D, anti-codon, and T loops). Lineage: Eukaryota; Metazoa; Chordata; Mammalia; Rodentia; Cricetidae. The record is from Rfam by way of RNAcentral.
GCCGGGCUAGCUCAGUCGGUUGAGCAUGAGACUCUCAAUCUCAGGGUUGUGGGUUCCAGCCCCGUGCUGGGUG